This 164-nucleotide ribosomal RNA is filed under the name Medicago sativa (alfalfa). Its description in RNAcentral is "5.8S ribosomal RNA". It matches the Rfam family "5.8S ribosomal RNA". Rfam says of the family: 5.8S ribosomal RNA (5.8S rRNA) is a component of the large subunit of the eukaryotic ribosome. It is transcribed by RNA polymerase I as part of the 45S precursor that also contains 18S and 28S rRNA. Functionally, it is thought that 5.8S rRNA may be involved in ribosome translocation. Lineage: Eukaryota; Viridiplantae; Streptophyta; Magnoliopsida; Fabales; Fabaceae. The record is from RNAcentral.
AGAAUGACUCUCGGCAACGGAUAUCUAGGCUCUUGCAUCGAUGAAGAACGUAGCGAAAUGCGAUACUUGGUGUGAAUUGCAGAAUCCCGUGAACCAUCGAGUUUUUGAACGCAAGUUGCGCCCGAUGCCAUUAGGUUGAGGGCACGUCUGCCUGGGUGUCACAU